AAAAGAGAGACAGUGCUUUUGCAAUUGCACGGCUGAUGCAGUAAGGGAUGAAAAUCUAAACAAAACACGGUAAAUCAAAUAAAUCCCAAUCUAUGAUGCUUGCAAUUAAAUAAAUAAUUAAAUAAAUUUCAACGUGGGGAUAAGCUUUGAUUCAUUUUUUUUUAACAAGGCUAGUAAGCUGAGUGUGUAGCUUAUGAGAGGAAAAAAAGACUGAUCUAUUCUCUUGUUGGGAAAAAAAUAACGUUAUCCUACAUAAGUAGAACUAAAGUACUUAUAUGCUCAAAUGCAUUGGAAAAUUCACAUGAUCGAGUAAACUCUAUUUUUAAGAAAACAGACAGUAAUUUUAAGAAAACAAGAUAACAUAUUCAUUUGAAAAACAUCCUAAAUUUCCCAAAUGGAAAAAAUUCACCUAUACAAUAUAAAGUAAGAUAAAAGGACUUUCUUUUUCCUGCAGGCAAGCGUUUCUUAUGUCUCUGAGAAUAUGUGUGCAACUGAAUAUAUUUUUAUAUAUACAUAUUCACGUUAUCAGCAGAAGGAAAACCUCAUCAAGGCCUGGCCAGUUCACCCACAGACCUCAUUCGGGUUAGAUCUUCUGUUUGCCCGUUUAUUUUAAACCGAUAUCUGAAGGCAUUUGUUCUGUUGUCUCACGUUUCAGGGUCACCACCAAGUCGGGCAGGCCGCUGCCGAUUAGCGGUGAGCACACGCAGUUCCUCCGCGCCCCUCGGGCAAGAACUGCCGUCACCCGCCUGCCUGGCCGCCCUCAGACAGUUCCACCACACGGCCGCCCGCGGCCCGCCGCCCACCCACCGCCCGCGCUACCCGAACGGCAGCCGCUGCUCUCGGAUGGUCCCGAGACAGGCAUGGCUGUUACUUUCAGAGGCAUGCAGUGGAAAAGCUGUGAUCCUGCCGAGAUGAGUGGUUUCCUGUGAGUUUCAUGGGAGUUUUCCGCAUGGCUGAUGUGAUGCAGUUAAAGGUUUCUCAGGAGAAGAGUAGCCCUUCUGUCAUGAUGAUAGGUAAGUCAUAGCAACCCUCAGGUAAACUCCAAGGAUGAUCUCAGUCUUUCUGUGUCACAGAUUCAAAGGCUUAAUUAAAUUUGCAGAACAGCUAAGCGCUCAGAGCUGCGAAGCACAAAGGAAAACUGCAUAACGCCUGGUAAGUUGUAAUAACUGGAGAUAAUUGGCCUACCAAACUCUGUUCCUUUGUCACUCAGUCUUUCAUAGGUGAAGCUAAACUUAGUCCUGCCUCAGUCUUCAGAAUUAUCACAAAAAUAAACCAGUGCUUGUAAGGCUUUCCAGUAUAAUAAUUGGGACCAGCUGCAAAAGAACUGUGAAGAAAAAUAUUUUUUUGUCCAAAGAAUUUUGCUUGAACUAAAUGCAAUAAAUGAGGCCUAAAGCCUGUAUUGAA
Numida meleagris (helmeted guineafowl) is the source of this 1404-nucleotide long non-coding RNA. RefSeq lists it as uncharacterized. The record is from RefSeq and is a predicted model, not a curated record. NCBI's taxonomy places the organism in Eukaryota, Metazoa, Chordata, Aves, Galliformes, Numididae. The transcript is spliced from 2 exons.